UACGAAGGGGGCUAGCGUUGCUCGGAAUCACUGGGCGUAAAGGGCGCGUAGGCGGCCAUUCAAGUCGGAGGUGAAAGCCCAGGGCUCAACCCUGGAAUUGCCUUCGAUACUGUUUGGCUAGAGACCGGAAGAGGUAAGUGGAACUGCGAGUGUAGAGGUGAAAUUCGUAGAUAUUCGCAAGAACACCAGUGGCGAAGGCGGCUCACUGGCCCGAUACUGACGCUGAGGUGCGAAAGCGUGGGGAGCAAACAGG
RNAcentral lists this ribosomal RNA (253 nucleotides) under uncultured bacterium. RNAcentral describes it as "partial 16S ribosomal RNA". It matches the Rfam family "Bacterial small subunit ribosomal RNA", at positions 524 to 776 of the family's 1533-position model. The record is from RNAcentral.